AUUGCCGGGCUUGCGAAUUCGGUCGGCUGUGAUAGGGUCGAGUGCAGGUCACAAAACCCCGCCUUCGGGCGGGGUUUUGCUUUUUU
This 86-nucleotide unclassified non-coding RNA is filed under the name Stutzerimonas balearica DSM 6083. RNAcentral describes it as "Pseudomonas balearica DSM 6083 Pseudomonas rnk leader". The record is from RNAcentral. Lineage: Bacteria; Pseudomonadati; Pseudomonadota; Gammaproteobacteria; Pseudomonadales; Pseudomonadaceae.